RNAcentral lists this ribosomal RNA (577 nucleotides) under uncultured bacterium. RNAcentral's name for it is "partial 16S ribosomal RNA". It matches the Rfam family "Bacterial small subunit ribosomal RNA", at positions 355 to 923 of the family's 1533-position model. The record is from RNAcentral.
UGGGGAAUUUUGGACAAUGGGCGAAAGCCUGAUCCAGCAAUGCCGCGUGUGUGAAGAAGGCCUUCGGGUUGUAAAGCACUUUUGUCCGGAAAGAAAUCCUUGGCUCUAAUACAGUCGGGGGAUGACGGUACCGGAAGAAUAAGCACCGGCUAACUACGUGCCAGCAGCCGCGGUAAUACGUAGGGUGCAAGCGUUAAUCGGAAUUACUGGGCGUAAAGCGUGCGCAGGCGGUUUGCUAAGACCGAUGUGAAAUCCCCGGGCUCAACCUGGGAACUGCAUUGGGUGACUGGCAGGCUAGAGUAUGGCAGAGGGGGGUAGAAUUCCACGUGUAGCAGUGAAAUGCGUAGAGAUGUGGAGGAAUACCGAUGGCGAAGGCAGCCCCCUGGGCCAAUACUGACGCUCAUGCACGAAAGCGUGGGGAGCAAACAGGAUUAGAUACCCUGGUAGUCCACGCCCUAAACGAUGUCAACUAGUUGUUGGGGACUUCAUUUCCUUAGUAACGUAGCUAACGCGUGAAGUUGACCGCCUGGGGAGUACGGUCGCAAGAUUAAAACUCAAAGGAAUUGACGGGGUCAUA